Molecule: ribosomal RNA, 172 nt
Filed under: Bacillus paralicheniformis
Lineage: Bacteria; Bacillati; Bacillota; Bacilli; Caryophanales; Bacillaceae
Description: partial 23S ribosomal RNA
Rfam family: Bacterial large subunit ribosomal RNA
Source: RNAcentral
CGGUUAAGUUAGAAAGGGCGCACGGUGGAUGCCUUGGCACUAGGAGCCGAUGAAGGACGGGACGAACACCGAUAUGCUUCGGGGAGCUGUAAGCAAGCUUUGAUCCGGAGAUUUCCGAAUGGGGAAACCCACUGCUCGUAAUGGAGCAGUAUCYAUAUCUGAAUUCAUAGGA